Molecule: long non-coding RNA, 170 nt
Organism: Nerophis lumbriciformis (worm pipefish)
Lineage: Eukaryota; Metazoa; Chordata; Actinopteri; Syngnathiformes; Syngnathidae
Source: RefSeq, a predicted model, not a curated record
CUUACCUUUCAGGGUGGUGGUAUUGCUUGUGGAGGUUCCCUGCAUGUCUGGAUCCCCGCUUCUGCGGUGGCAGCAGGCAGCUAAUUGCUUUGUAGAUGUCGGAAACAGCGGGAGGCAGUGUGCAGAGGCACUAUAGAGAGCCUGCUGACCAACAGCAUCUCUGUCUGGAC